GUGGACAAGUCAACCCAUCACCAAUCCCGUUACUCCCAAACAUAUAACAUAAGGAGAUACACGCAUUCCAUACACUUAACAAGAGUUUAGAAAUUCAAUUGCCUGAAUCCAAUAAGAAUUUACUUCGUGACUUGAGCCUUUCCCAUUUGUUGAACUUCCAACUCAAACCAAUCUAGUCAAAUAAUUAACCACAAUAAGAUUUCAAAACUAAAAACACCCAUAUUAUUAUGUGUCUUGUCAAUAAGUCACCCCGAAUUUAUAAUCAUGUUCCUAAUCUUAAUGUCAAUUAAUAUUUCAACUCUCAUAUCUCUCAAAUUCAAACCUAGAGUUAAGUCGUAAUUCCUCCAAACACUACAAACCUAAUAGCUUUCAUAUAAUAUAAUACACUAAAAUAAGGACCCUAAAGAAAAUGACAAGUCAGUAGCUUAAAUCGCUACAAAAAAACAACUAUCCUAUCAUUCUUUAAACACGAUACAAUUAACUUAUAUUUUAUUAUAAAAUAAUUAUCAAAUUUUAUCUAAACAUGGACAAUUAAUUCCAUCACAAAGAAUGCACAGUUACUUUGAGAAAAGGUGAUACUAUUAAUAUAUUUCUUAAAUCAUCCUGCAGGACAUUUUAAAUAAAUUCAUUUCUCCAAUUCAACCAACCCAAUAUUCCAGCCCACGUCUUUACCUUUAACCCAGUCUAAAAUCAUUGUCUUCUUCUCCAAAGAGAAAAAUCAGAGCGUAGUAGCAACAAAACGCGUCAAAAUUCAGCGCGUCAAAUCCGGCCCCCCUCUUCACGUUGGACACAUGCAUCAGUAGUACUCUCAUUUUUCUUCUCUUCACGAGACCCGUGAGGAACAUGAGUGAGUGUAACCGAAGGGAAAUACUCAACGUCUCUUUCUCCUUUUUGGUAUGGUUCGACUUUAGCCGAAUCUCUCUGCACUCAGCCAGGAAAGCACGCCAAAUUGUCCCAUGAAUGCUGGAGAUUGAGCCACAUCGCUUGUCAAGGACGAUGGGAUAAAUUUCGGUCGUCGAUUUUCCCCUUUCCCCUUUCCCCUUUUGGAAUGGGUCAGGAGCCUCAGAAAAGUUUGUUCACCCAUUUUAUGAAAGAUUUUUGGGGAGUUUGGAAUUUUUCGAAAUGGAAAUUUUGCCCCUCCCCCCCAUUUUCCUAAACCUAAUCUGUCCCUAUAUAUAUAUUCUCUUUGUCAUUUGUAACGGGGAUUUUUUUUGGUCGAGGAUAUUUUUGGUUGAGUAAAAAGAAGAUUUUUUUAAAAAAUUUCCUCUGGUCAGUAGAGAAGAACAAAUAAAAAAGAAAGAUAUUCAAAAUUCACAGAUAAAAGUUGAAAAAGAUCUUUUAGUAUCGAUUUAAAAAAAAAAGCCUAGAGUUCCAGGUCGACUCAAAAUUUUUGUUCAUUGUUCACGUCGGUAAUUUGUGUUCAAGUUUUGUGGAAUGGAAGUCGCUGCCUAUUCCAGCUCAUUUGAACCCCAUUUGUUGCCCUGAAAAAAGUGAAAUUUUUCUUACCUCACUCGUCUUAUCGAGUGCUUCUUCUUCCAAUCCGCCAUGGAUUUUAACCCUUCCCUUGCAUUUCGACAAAAUCGUAAAGGCUUAAUUUCUUACUUUCGAGUUAACCCUUAGAAAAGGCAAACAAGUGUCAAACUUGAAGAAUGCGCGCAAAUCAAGAAGUUGAAGAAAUAGGGAAAAAUAGUCAAUUUUUAUUAUUAUUUUAUUUUCUUUAUCUUUAUAUUGUAUUUUGUUAGCUUUGGGCCUAAGCCCUUGUCUGUUGUAUUACUAUUAUUUUGCUAGUUUAGUACAGGUACAAUGGGCCUAAGUCUCAAAUGCGAAACGGGUCCAAAUACGGAUCCAGGCGUACAAAAAACCCAAAUUUGGGCCCAAAACUCUCUCUUUCUCUAUCUCUCUCUUUAUAUGCUUCUAAUUAUUUGUUAUUUAAUUGUCGGUUGGUUUUAGGGUUAAAGAAUUCCGAUCCCCGCAAAA
Solanum lycopersicum (tomato) is the source of this 1977-nucleotide long non-coding RNA. RefSeq lists it as uncharacterized. Lineage: Eukaryota; Viridiplantae; Streptophyta; Magnoliopsida; Solanales; Solanaceae. The record is from RefSeq and is a predicted model, not a curated record.